UCGGGCCUCUUGAAGCUCGAGUACCGCGACCACAGCAUCAUCGCCUAGACCGCUGGAUAAAAGCAUCCAUUUCACUAAUAAAGAACCAGGACCCUUUUCCAACUACAACGACGUCAGGAUCCAGCUCAAAUGGCAUUCAAGAAUUCUCAGGAGCAACGCCUACAUGUAUUGUAGCAGGUGGAGAAUCAGAUUCUGAAGGGUCCAUUAGUGUGGAAAUUGUAAAACCUUCUAAGAGGAACAAGAAGGAAACAAAUGCCAAGUCUGUUGCAAAAAAGAGAAAGGUCACUGUGGCAAAGAAUGUGCAGAUGGUCACUUUAUAGUUGAGAAGAUCUUGAAGGAUAGGAUGAAGAAUGGGGUCAGGGAGGGACUCAUCAGUUGGGAUGGCUAUGAUUCGACGCACAACACGUGGGAGCCUAUGAAGGAAUUACCAAAAGACAUUGUUACAGACUAUUAUCAGAAUAAGAAGAAACAUUAGAUAGUUGUAGUACAUGACAUACAAUGAUGUCCAGUCAUUUUCAGAUUUUGAGUGGCCAUGGACAUAAGGCCAAAUUUCAAUGAAAAAAACUACAUUGAAAUCUAAAUGCUGAAAUGGUGCAAAAAGAAAUUUCUGAAUAUGACAUGAACAUAAUCAGAGUUUGAACGACUACCACUGCUCUGUACAAAUCAUACAAAUAUCCAAUUCACAAUUAAAUCGACAAAAACUGGGUCAAGACUAGUAACU
Lineus longissimus is the source of this 721-nucleotide long non-coding RNA. RefSeq lists it as uncharacterized. The transcript has 5 exons. The record is from RefSeq and is a predicted model, not a curated record. NCBI's taxonomy places the organism in Eukaryota, Metazoa, Nemertea, Pilidiophora, Heteronemertea, Lineidae.